CUCCUCUCAGGGUGGCACCUGGAGAGUUUCCAGUCCUCUACCAGUCUCGGCUACGGGAGGCAGAGCCAAGCAGAGGCCUAGCCGUUCCAUUCCCAGCUUGGCCAGUGGCUAGCGAGCGGAAGGCAAUCUGCUACAAGU
This is a small nucleolar RNA of Ornithorhynchus anatinus (platypus), 138 nucleotides long. NCBI's taxonomy places the organism in Eukaryota, Metazoa, Chordata, Mammalia, Monotremata, Ornithorhynchidae. The record is from RefSeq and is a predicted model, not a curated record.